GUGAAUCAUCGAAAUUUUUGAACGCAAAUUGCACUCUCCUCGUAGAGUAUGCCUUUUUGAGGUUCAGCCUAUAAAAAAUCGACAUCGUGGCUUUUUCGCGGUGGCUGUCGUCGGAAAUGGGGUCAUCUUAAAUCCUUUUGGUUUUUAAGCGACUUAAAAUUUUCUUUUUGGUUCCAUGAACGUAUCUAAGAUUUAUUUCUUUACUCGUUUAUGGUAUCUAUUUUUAUUAGACGUGA
This 236-nucleotide unclassified non-coding RNA is filed under the name Glomeraceae sp. Its description in RNAcentral is "partial contains 5.8S ribosomal RNA and internal transcribed spacer 2". The record is from RNAcentral. Lineage: Eukaryota; Fungi; Glomeromycota; Glomeromycetes; Glomerales; Glomeraceae.